AACGAACGCUGGCGGCGUGCUUAACACAUGCAAGUCGAACGCGAAAGGGACUUCGGUCCUGAGUAAAGUGGCGCACGGGUGAGUAACGCGUAGAUAACCUGUCUUCGUGUCUGGAAUAAUACACCGAAAGGGGUACUAAUACCGGAUAAUCUUGCUUUUCAUAAGUUUUGCAAGCAAAGGUGGCCUCUGACUUAAGCUACUGCAUGAAGAGGGGUCUGCGUACCAUUAGCUAGUAGGUGGGGUAAAGGCCUACCUAGGCAACGAUGGUUAGCGGGUCUGAGAGGAUGAUCCGCCACACUGGCACUGGAACACGGGCCAGACUCCUACGGGAGGCAGCAGUGAGGAAUAUUGCGCAAUGGGGGCAACCCUGACGCAGCGACGCCGCGUGAGUGAGGAAGGCCUUCGGGUCGUAAAGCUCUGUCAAAGGGAAAGAAAUGUAUAAUGGCUAAUACCUGUUAUAUUUGACGGUACCCUUAAAGGAAGCACCGGCUAACUCCGUGCCAGCAGCCGCGGUAAUACGGAGGGUGCAAGCGUUGUUCGGAAUUACUGGGCGUAAAGGGCGCGUAGGCGGUUUGAUAAGUCAGAUGUGAAAGCCCACGGCUUAACUGUGGAAGUGCAUUUGAAACUGUCAGACUUGAGUACCAGAGGGGAAAGUGGAAUUCCCGGUGUAGAGGUGAAAUUCGUAGAUAUCGGGAGGAAUACCGGUGGCGAAGGCGACUUUCUGGCUGGAUACUGACGCUGAGGCGCGAAAGCGUGGGGAGCAAACA
Molecule: ribosomal RNA, 767 nt
Filed under: uncultured Desulfobulbus sp.
Lineage: Bacteria; Pseudomonadati; Thermodesulfobacteriota; Desulfobulbia; Desulfobulbales; Desulfobulbaceae
Description: bacterial SSU rRNA
Rfam family: Bacterial small subunit ribosomal RNA
Source: RNAcentral